RNAcentral lists this transfer RNA (75 nucleotides) under Pteropus alecto (black flying fox). It matches the Rfam family "tRNA". From Rfam's summary of the family: Transfer RNA (tRNA) molecules are approximately 80 nucleotides in length. Their secondary structure includes four short double-helical elements and three loops (D, anti-codon, and T loops). Lineage: Eukaryota; Metazoa; Chordata; Mammalia; Chiroptera; Pteropodidae. The record is from Rfam by way of RNAcentral.
GGCUCCAUAGUGUAAUGGUUAACACGUCUGCUUUACACACAGAAAGUCCUAGAUUCACACCCCCAGGUGGAGCCA